AGUGAACGCUGGCGGUAGGCCUAACACAUGCAAGUCGAACGGCAGCACAGUAAGAGCUUGCUCUUACGGGUGGCGAGUGGCGGACGGGUGAGGAAUACAUCGGAAUCUACUUUUUCGUGGGGGAUAACGUAGGGAAACUUACGCUAAUACCGCAUACGACCUACGGGUGAAAGCAGGGGAUCUUCGGACCUUGCGCGAUUGAAUGAGCCGAUGUCGGAUUAGCUAGUUGGCGGGGUAAAGGCCCACCAAGGCGACGAUCCGUAGCUGGUCUGAGAGGAUGAUCAGCCACACUGGAACUGAGACACGGUCCAGACUCCUACGGGAGGCAGCAGUGGGGAAUAUUGGACAAUGGGCGCAAGCCUGAUCCAGCCAUACCGCGUGGGUGAAGAAGGCCUUCGGGUUGUAAAGCCCUUUUGUUGGGAAAGAAAAGGAGCAGGUUAAUACCCCGCUGUUCUGACGGUACCCAAAGAAGAAGCACCGGCUAACUUCGUG
Molecule: ribosomal RNA, 492 nt
Filed under: uncultured bacterium
Lineage: Bacteria
Description: partial 16S ribosomal RNA
Rfam family: Bacterial small subunit ribosomal RNA
Source: RNAcentral